GGUCAGCAUACUGCCGUGAAUACGUUCCCGGGCCUUGUACACACCGCCCGUCACACCAUGAGAGUUGGGGAUACCCGAAGCCUGUGAGCUAACUAUUUAUAGGAGCAGCAGUCGAAGGUAGAAUCAAUGAUUGGGGUGAAGUCGUAACAAGGUAAC
RNAcentral lists this ribosomal RNA (156 nucleotides) under uncultured bacterium. RNAcentral's name for it is "partial 16S ribosomal RNA". It matches the Rfam family "Bacterial small subunit ribosomal RNA", at positions 1347 to 1500 of the family's 1533-position model. The record is from RNAcentral.